ACGGGAGGCAGCAGUGGGGAAUAUUGGACAAUGGAGGCAACUCUGAUCCAGCGACGCCGCGUGAGUGAAGAAGUAUUUCGGUAUGUAAAGCUCUAUCAGCAGGGAAGAUGAUGACGGUACCUGACUAAGAAGCCCCGGCUAACUACGUGCCAGCAGCCGCGGUAAUACGUAGGGGGCAAGCGUUAUCCGGAUUUACUGGGUGUAAAGGGAGCGUAGACGGCUUUGUAAGUCUGAUGUGAAAGGCAGGGGCUCAACUCCUGGACUGCAUUGGAAACUACAGAGCUUGAGUGCCGGAGAGGUAAGCGGAAUUCCUAGUGUAGCGGUGAAAUGCGUAGAUAUUAGGAGGAACACCAGUGGCGAAGGCGGCUUACUGGACGGUAACUGACGUUGAGGCUCGAAAGCGUGGGGAGCAAACAGGAUUAGAUACCCUGGUA
This 434-nucleotide ribosomal RNA is filed under the name uncultured Lachnospiraceae bacterium. RNAcentral describes it as "bacterial SSU rRNA". It matches the Rfam family "Bacterial small subunit ribosomal RNA", at positions 341 to 792 of the family's 1533-position model. Lineage: Bacteria; Bacillati; Bacillota; Clostridia; Lachnospirales; Lachnospiraceae. The record is from RNAcentral.